This 460-nucleotide ribosomal RNA is filed under the name uncultured bacterium. Its description in RNAcentral is "partial 16S ribosomal RNA". It matches the Rfam family "Bacterial small subunit ribosomal RNA", at positions 338 to 795 of the family's 1533-position model. The record is from RNAcentral.
CCUACGGGAGGCUGCAGUGAGGAAUAUUGGUCAAUGGGCGAGAGCCUGAACCAGCCAAGUCGCGUGAAGGAUGAAGGAUCUAUGGUUUGUAAACUUCUUUUAUAUGGGAGUAAAGUGAGGAACGUGUUCCUUUUUGUAUGUACCAUAUGAAUAAGCAUCGGCAAACUCCGUGCCCGCAGCCGCGGUAAUACGGAGGAUUCGAGCGUUUUUCGGAUUUUUUGGGUUUAAAGGGAGCGUAAGUGGAUUGUUAAGUCAGUUGUUAAAGUUUGCGGCUUAACCGUAAAAUUGCAGUUGAAACUGGCAGUCUUGAGUACAGGAGAGGUGGGCGGAAUGCGUGGUGUAGCGGUGAAAUGCUUAGAUAUCACGAAGAACUCCGAUUGCGAAGGCAGUUCACUGGACUGCAACUGACACUGAAGCACGAAAGUGUGGGUAUCGAACAGGAUUAGAUACCCCAGUAGUC